UCGAGGAGCGGGCCGGGAAGGCCGCCGAGCUCGAGGCGCGGGAGCAGGACGCGCGUGCCUGAUCUCGCGGCGUUCGAGCGCCUCGUCGGC
This 90-nucleotide transfer RNA is filed under the name freshwater metagenome. RNAcentral's name for it is "tRNA-Ser". The record is from RNAcentral.